RNAcentral lists this ribosomal RNA (322 nucleotides) under uncultured eukaryote. RNAcentral describes it as "partial 18S ribosomal RNA". It matches the Rfam family "Eukaryotic small subunit ribosomal RNA", at positions 1470 to 1796 of the family's 1831-position model. The record is from RNAcentral.
CCCUUAGAUGUUCUGGGCCGCACGCGUGCUACACUGAGUGGAUCAGCGGGUCAGGUUGCGCGAAAGCGUUUCCUAAUCUUUAAAUCCGCUCGUGAUGGGGAUUGACGGUUGCAAUUUUCUGUCAUGAACGAGGAAUACCUUGUAAGCGCGGGUCAUCAUCCCGCGCUGAAUACGUCCCUGCCCUUUGUACACACCGCCCGUCGCACCUACCGAUUGAAUGGUCCGGUGAAAUCUUGGGAUUUUGUUUUGUUUGCAUUUAUUUGUAUCGAGACGAGAGAACUUGAGUAAACCUUACCAUUUAGAGGAAGGUGAAGUCGUAACA